CCUACGGGUGGCAGCAGUGGGGAAUAUUGCACAAUGGGGGAAACCCUGAUGCAGCGACGCCGCGUGAGUGAAGAAGUUAUUCGUUAUGUAAAGCUCUAUCAGCAGGGAAGAAAAUGAUGGUACCUGAGUAAGAAGCACCGGCUAACUACGUGACAGAUGCCGCGGUACUACGCAGGGUGCAAGCGUUAUACGGAUUUACUGGGUGUAAAGGGCGAGUAGACGGCUGUGCAGGUCUGGUGGGAAAGGCGGGGGCUCAACCCCCGGACGGCUCUGGAAACUGUACGGCUGGAGUGCAGGAGAAGUAAGUGGAAUGCCCGGUGUAGCGGUGAAAUGCGUAGAUAUCAGGAAGAACUCCAGUGGCGAAGGCGGCUUACUGGACUCUAACUGACGCUGAGGCUCGAAAGCGUGGGGAUCAAACAGGAUUAGAUACCCCGGUAGUC
RNAcentral lists this ribosomal RNA (440 nucleotides) under uncultured bacterium. RNAcentral's name for it is "partial 16S ribosomal RNA". It matches the Rfam family "Bacterial small subunit ribosomal RNA", at positions 338 to 795 of the family's 1533-position model. The record is from RNAcentral.